This 356-nucleotide long non-coding RNA is filed under the name Vigna radiata. RNAcentral's name for it is "long non-coding RNA (VRAD_LNC016417)". The record is from RNAcentral. Lineage: Eukaryota; Viridiplantae; Streptophyta; Magnoliopsida; Fabales; Fabaceae.
AUUGAUGUGGUGUAUAAUUUUGAGGUUUGGGUGCAAAUGUUAGGGUGAAACUUUGCUAUUUUCACCCGAACAAAAGAAAAUAUUACCCAAGCGGCCAUAGCCCAGAAUUUCACUUUUCUCUCUGUUGAGUUGUUGUUCAAGCGACAACUACUCGCCCAAGUGACAAAAUGUGUCACCCAAGCGACAAGCUUCUUGAUCAGAUGAGAAUGUCAUUAUAACUCCUUUUACCUUUAUUGAGUUGUCACCCAGGCGAAAAAUUUGUCGCUUAAGUGAAAACCCUUUCUCACCCAAGCAAGAGCCUGUCACUCAAGCGAGAGAACUCCAAUGGCUCAUCCUAAUCUCUAUUAAGGUGUCCC